This is a long non-coding RNA of Mytilus californianus (California mussel), 392 nucleotides long. RefSeq lists it as uncharacterized. The transcript has 3 exons. The record is from RefSeq and is a predicted model, not a curated record. NCBI's taxonomy places the organism in Eukaryota, Metazoa, Mollusca, Bivalvia, Mytilida, Mytilidae.
CAGAAGUUAAGAUUAUGAUAAAAGAUUUGGAGAUCAAAAACACAGGCAUGGCACAAUGCAGUGCGUAUAUAAAAAUGUCACCUUACCUUUAGGUCACUCAUACAUCGAUUAUACCCAUUGUGUAGAGCACAGCUGUGGUUCGGAUGGAAGUAUGUCUGUUUGUGGGAUUGGUAUAUACGCAGGAGUGAUUGUUCCGCCAGAUGGAUGUGCGAUUUUAAAAGGAGAAAAAUGUGCUUUUGAGUUUGUAUCUGCCAGAGAUCAUACCAUCAAAUGUGAAGCACACAUAUUUGGAUAAAUAUAUUUUUACAUCUAUGGAAAUUGAAUAGAAUAUUAUAGAAAAAUGCAAAGACACUUUCUACGUCAAGUGAUUCUAUGUAUUGGCGGACAGGAGA